This 490-nucleotide ribosomal RNA is filed under the name uncultured bacterium. RNAcentral's name for it is "bacterial SSU rRNA". It matches the Rfam family "Bacterial small subunit ribosomal RNA", at positions 28 to 507 of the family's 1533-position model. The record is from RNAcentral.
GAUGAACGCUAGCUACAGGCUUAACACAUGCAAGUCGAGGGGAAACGACAUCGAAAGCUUGCUUUGAUGGGCGUCGACCGGCGCACGGGUGAGUAACGCGUAUCCAACCUGCCCGCCACUUGGGGAUAACCUUGCGAAAGUAAGACUAAUACCCAAUGAUAUCCCACGAAGGCAUCGGAAUGGGAUUAAAGAUUUAUCGGUGAUGGAUGGGGAUGCGUCUGAUUAGCUUGUUGGCGGGGUAACGGCCCACCAAGGCUACGAUCAGUAGGGGUUCUGAGAGGAAGGUCCCCCACAUUGGAACUGAGACACGGUCCAAACUCCUACGGGAGGCAGCAGUGAGGAAUAUUGGUCAAUGGGCGAGAGCCUGAACCAGCCAAGUAGCGUGCAGGAUGACGGCCCUAUGGGUUGUAAACUGCUUUUAUAAGGGAAUAAAGUGGGUCUCGUGAGACUUUUGCAUGUACCUUAUGAAUAAGGACCGGCUAAUUCCGUG